AGUUAUUAACCAAAGAAGGUAUUAUGUUUUGAAAGCAUAUAUAUAAGAGGUUCAAUUCCCCUAAUAACUU
RNAcentral lists this transfer RNA (70 nucleotides) under Panesthia angustipennis cognata. RNAcentral describes it as "tRNA-Ser". It matches the Rfam family "tRNA". Rfam says of the family: Transfer RNA (tRNA) molecules are approximately 80 nucleotides in length. Their secondary structure includes four short double-helical elements and three loops (D, anti-codon, and T loops). The record is from RNAcentral. Lineage: Eukaryota; Metazoa; Arthropoda; Insecta; Blattodea; Blaberidae.